Molecule: long non-coding RNA, 1243 nt
Organism: Thalassophryne amazonica
Lineage: Eukaryota; Metazoa; Chordata; Actinopteri; Batrachoidiformes; Batrachoididae
Exons: 2
Source: RefSeq, a predicted model, not a curated record
UGUCACUUUAUUUGCUUGAAACACACUGAAAAACAUUAACAUACACACAGACUUUAUAAGGCCCGGCUCCUUACUCCAUAGGGGUCGUGACAGGAAAACAUCUAAGGACCAGGUCAGCUGCUUACACACACACGGCAGCGGUAGACUUUUCUCUGCUCCUGCCACAAUGCAGUGAGUGGUCAGAAGCUGCUGGAGUGAAUGAUGCAAUCUCAACUGUUGAACUAUAAACGUUGUCAGACAAACUAACUGAACCAUGAUGUGAAGUUUUUUAAAAGUGGUGUGAAUUUUAUUUAAAGGCAGUUUAAGAUACAUUCUCAUAUUUUGUCUGUCACAUUGAUGACUUUCAUUAAGAUUUUCAUAAAACUGUUAAAAGUCAAAAGUAAAAAAUCACUGAUACAGUUUAUACAGUUAUAAAUAGAAACAAAAACACCAAAAGUAAAUGAAACAUUUAAAAUAUAUAUAUUCAAUAAGUUAUAAUAGGUUCAUGUGUGACCCCAAUGCAGAGAACAGACACAAUGUAAGUCCAGUGUUCUUUAUUCAGCAAUGCAGGGACGGUUUAGGGUCAGAUAUAGGAAACUGUCCAAGGUAGAGGUGCCCUCAGGAAACAUGGAAUGGCAGCGUGGGUCAGUAACAUGAGGAAAGAACACUGAUGAAGCAGGAACUGGGAGGGACACCAUGAGGCACUACACUAGAGGGAGCCAGAGACCAGAGGGAGAACAUGUGAACCCGGAAACCACUGGACAAGAAGUAAAGGUACUCGGAGAAUAAUGCACAGGAGAUGACUAUCAUGGAGGAGAAUCACAGGAGAUCAACCAUCUAAAAUAAUCUAAUAUGGAAUAUAUUAUGGAGCUGAUGACCGCAACACCCAAACACCACAACAGAACAUCAGAAACGUGAACGUGAUCAUUUGUUCUGGGAGCAAACAUUGAUGCUGCACAUCACUGCACCCCAAACACUACAGAACCUAGGCUACAUGGCACCUGGAUGGCAACCACCCAAACAGACACUGUGGAAACCUCUCCAGGUUUCCAGUGACCAGCUGUCUGCAGCAGUGACCUUGACACGGUUCAGUACAUCCGAAGACAUGAUGAGCAGUGUUAAGAUCAUUUCUGAACAUUUUAUAACCUGACAAAGUGCACGUGGACUCUGUGUUUUGACAUUUUAAACACUGGUUUGUGACUUUUGUAACCAUCACUAGAACUAGCCGACAAUCCUCACCUGGUUACCUGAACCAUAACAGCUG